This 27-nucleotide non-coding RNA is filed under the name Bombyx mori (domestic silkworm). The record is from RNAcentral. Lineage: Eukaryota; Metazoa; Arthropoda; Insecta; Lepidoptera; Bombycidae.
UCAUUCCAAAGCAUAGUGUGCUGCCUU